Long non-coding RNA from Vidua chalybeata, 658 nucleotides. RefSeq lists it as uncharacterized. The transcript has 2 exons. The record is from RefSeq and is a predicted model, not a curated record. NCBI's taxonomy places the organism in Eukaryota, Metazoa, Chordata, Aves, Passeriformes, Viduidae.
GGAGUGGCAGCUGGGAAGAAAGUGGAGGAGUGGGGCAAGGAUGGCGUUGGUGGGCAUGGGGUCCAGGAAAGGCCUUGAAAACAGACAAGCAAGCUGUGUCAAAAAAGCCGUGUUUGGAAGAGAACAAUGAAACAGCAGAGAGAUGCAAGAGGAAUAGAGCAAUGACCAGUGGUGGGCUGGGAAAACCACCACUGCAGCCACCUCCAGGGAGCUGUCCGUGGGAAAAGCAUCUGCGGGAGGUCCAGCAAAGCACCGGCGACAGCCAAGAUGUGGAGCUCUUGAGCAAGAGUUGUAGCUGUGAGGAUGCCCUGCAAACGCCGGGUCAUGGAUCCUCUGCAGGCAAGUGUGUAGGGAAGUUUGACAGGAUAAUGGAUCAGCAGCACAUGGGAUGGAAUGAAGUUUGUGUCUGUGAAAAGAAAUCCUUGAGGAGAAGCGAGUCAGGACAAAAGGAGGAGAAAAGCAUGGAGUUUUCCUCAUUCACUGCUGAAAGUUGGGAGUAUUUGGGAGUAAAAUAGCUCAUCUAUGAAAUUCACAGAUUGGAGAAUUUUGCUGAGAGAAGCAGAAGAAGAGGUGUUGUGAAGGAUUAAAAAGAGUGCUCUGAGAGAUGCUACAAAGCACAUACCUUUUUCCUCCAUUAAAACAAAGUAGUAGUUCUCAA